This 64-nucleotide transfer RNA is filed under the name Ptilodactylidae sp. 3 ACP-2013. Its description in RNAcentral is "tRNA-Arg". Lineage: Eukaryota; Metazoa; Arthropoda; Insecta; Coleoptera; Ptilodactylidae. The record is from RNAcentral.
UAAAUAAGAAACAAAAAUUGUAUUUAGUUUCGACCUAAACCCUUGAUGUUAAACAUCCUUAUUU